GGAUCCAGACUUUGAUUAUGGCUCAGGACGAACGCUGGCGGCGCGCCUAACACAUGCAAGUCGAGCGGGAAGCUUUUUAAGGAUUCUUCGGAUGAAAUAAAAAGUGGAGAGCGGCGGACGGGUGAGUAACGCGUGAGAAACCUGCCCUAUACAGGGGGAUAGCCAUUGGAAACGAUGAUUAAUACCCCAUAUGACCACAGUAUCGCAUGAUACAGCGGUGAAAACUCCGGUGGUAUAGGAUGGUCUCGCGUCUGAUUAGCUAGUUGGUGGGGUAACGGCCUACCAAGGCGACGAUCAGUAGCCGGCCUGAGAGGGUGACCGGCCACACUGGAACUGAGACACGGUCCAGACUCCUACGGGAGGCAGCAGUGGGGAAUAUUGCACAAUGGGCGAAAGCCUGAUGCAGCGACGCCGCGUGAACGAUGAAGGCUUUCGAGUCGUAAAGUUCUGUUCUUGGGGAAGAUAACGACGGUACCCAAGGAGAAAGCACCGGCUAAAUACGUGCCAGCAGCCGCGGUAAU
Molecule: ribosomal RNA, 521 nt
Filed under: uncultured bacterium
Lineage: Bacteria
Description: bacterial SSU rRNA
Rfam family: Bacterial small subunit ribosomal RNA
Source: RNAcentral